This 486-nucleotide ribosomal RNA is filed under the name uncultured bacterium. Its description in RNAcentral is "bacterial SSU rRNA". It matches the Rfam family "Bacterial small subunit ribosomal RNA", at positions 28 to 507 of the family's 1533-position model. The record is from RNAcentral.
GAUGAACGCUAGCGGCAGGCUUAACACAUGCAAGUCAGGGGUAACAUAGAAAAGCUUGCUUUUCUGAUGACGACCGGCGCACGGGUGCGUAACACGUAUACAACCUACCUUUUAGCGGGGAAUAGCCCAGGGAAACUUGGAUUAAUGCCCCAUAGUAUAUAGACUUCUCCUGAAGUUUAUAUUAAACAUUUAUGGCUAUUAGAUGGGUAUGCGUCCUAUUAGUUAGUUGGUAAGGUAACGGCUUACCAAGGCAGCGAUAGGUAGGGGUCCUGAGAGGGAGAUCCCCACACUGGUACUGAGACACGGACCAGACUCCUACGGGAGGCAGCAGUGAGGAAUAUUGGACAAUGGGCGAGAGCCUGAUCCAGCCAUGCCGCGUGCAGGAAGACUGCCCUAUGGGUUGUAAACUGCUUUUACAGAGGAAGAACCACCCCCACGUGUGGGGGUUUGACGGUACUCUGCGAAUAAGGAUCGGCUAACUCCGUG